GUCACUCUCCUGUUGUACUGUGUAACAAUCAGGCCCAGAAUUUUGGAGAAGGGACUCGACUCUCUGUUCUAGGUAAGCUACAGAACCAAAGAGAUGGGGCUACUGUCCCUUAGAGCCAGAGUGUCUGUGAACCCCCAGCACUGGUGGAAGGGGUCGAGGAAUUUAGUUAUUCUUUUACUUGCUGGGGUCUAAAAGGCUCCUCUAACCCCCUUAUGACAAGGUGAACCCGCAACUGCUUCUUUCCCCAGAAGUCUUCAAUCUCUGAGUGGUCUCCUUCCUAUCCCCAGCGUGAUCUUACCUUUCUGUUUGCAUGGAUGUGCUCCUUCUGCGUCCCUUCCUCCUGUCCCCUCCUGUCACAUGCCUCAUGGGAUGACUGUGGUCCAGAAUCCUGCCUGCAAGCAGAGUGGCAGUCAUCCAACGCUCAGAGAACUAAGCUAGAUCUCUGGCUUGGGGCCGCUAGCGGGUUUUACCCAGGCCACUUGCCGUUGUGUUCCUAUAAUUCGCCCCUCUACUUUGCAGCAGGGACCCGGCUCACUGUGACAGAGGACCUGAGCAAGGUGAGUCCGCCCAAGGUCACCUUGUUUGAGCCAUCAGAAGCAGAGAUCGUCGACAAACAAAUGGCUACCCUCGUGUGCCUGGCCAGGGGCUUCUACCCUGACCAUGUGGAACUGAGCUGGUGGGUGAACGGGAAGGAGCUCCGCAGUGGAGUCAGCACAGACCCUCAGCCCUACAAGGAGACCAAUAACAUCACCUACUGCCUGAGCAGCCGCCUGAGGGUCUCUGCAACCUUCUGGCACAAUCAUCGCAACCACUUCCGCUGCCAAGUCCAGUUCUAUGGACUUACAGAUGAAGAUGAGUGGGACAAGCCUUCACCCAAGCCUGUCACCCAGAACGUCAGUGCAGAGGCCCGGGGCCGAGCAGGUAUGUGGGACCUGGGGAGCAGCUGGUAAGAUGAAUGGGCAUCACUAGUGUCAAAGAGAAAUGGAAAAAUAUAAGCAAAAGCCAGAAGGAAGCCCAGAUGCAAAAAACAAACAAACAAACAAACAAAAACGGUGGCAGGGGCCUAAAGUUUGCCAAGAAGAUAAGCUAGACAACCACAGCUAAUCCUAACACCAGAUCCUCAGCCAGCAGCCUUACCUGUGGGGUCUCCUUUCCAUGGCCCUGUGCAGCUCAGCCUCUGAAUCAUUAUCUUUGGUGCCGAAGCCGUGGGUUUCAAGAAUAAUGGGUUUGCAUUGACACAACUGAAGAGAGAGGGUUCUGGGGCCACUUGGAGAGGCAGAUCUGGACCUGUCAAACUGUGCUAGCCUCAAGGCUGGCUUAAUUUUCAGUCUGCUUAAUAAAAAGAGGUCUCAUCCAUUUUCCUGUCUCCCUUUUCUUGCAGAUUGUGGCAUAACCUCAGCAUCCUACCAACAAGGGGUCCUGUCGGCCACCGUCCUUUAUGAGAUCCUGCUGGGGAAAGCCACCCUGUAUGCAGUGCUUGUCAGUACCCUAGUGCUGAUGGCCAUG
This is a non-coding RNA of Peromyscus eremicus (cactus mouse), 1506 nucleotides long. The record is from the annotation of a RefSeq genome assembly. NCBI's taxonomy places the organism in Eukaryota, Metazoa, Chordata, Mammalia, Rodentia, Cricetidae.